RNAcentral lists this ribosomal RNA (430 nucleotides) under uncultured bacterium. RNAcentral's name for it is "partial 16S ribosomal RNA". It matches the Rfam family "Bacterial small subunit ribosomal RNA", at positions 354 to 796 of the family's 1533-position model. The record is from RNAcentral.
GUGGGGAAUAUUGCACAAUGGGCGCAAGCCUGAUGCAGCAACGCCGCGUGAGGGAUGACGGCCUUCGGGUUGUAAACCUCUUUUAGUAGGGAAGAAGCGAAAGUGACGGUACCUGCAGAAAAAGCACCGGCUAACUACGUGCCAGCAGCCGCGGUAAUACGUAGGGUGCAAGCGUUGUCCGGAAUUAUUGGGCGUAAAGAGCUCGUAGGCGGCUUGUCGCGUCUGCUGUGAAAUCCCGGGGCUCAACCCCGGGCCUGCAGUGGGUACGGGCAGGCUAGAGUGCGGUAGGGGAGAUUGGAAUUCCUGGUGUAGCGGUGGAAUGCGCAGAUAUCAGGAGGAACACCGAUGGCGAAGGCAGAUCUCUGGGCCGCUACUGACGCUGAGGAGCGAAAGCAUGGGGAGCGAACAGGAUUAGAUACCCGAGUAGUCC